GACGAACGCUGGCGGCGUGCUUAACACAUGCAAGUCGAGCGGUAAGGCCCUUUCGGGGGUACACGAGCGGCGAACGGGUGAGUAACACGUGGGUGACCUGCCCUCAGCUCUGGGAUAAGCCUGGGAAACCGGGUCUAAUACUGGAUAUGACUCCAUGACGCAUGUUGUGGGGUGAAAGCCUUGUGCGGCUGAGGAUGGGCCCGCGGCCUAUCAGCUUGUUGGUGGGGUGANGGCCUACCAAGGCGACGACGGGUAGCCGGCCUGAGAGGGCGACCGGCCACACUGGGACUGAGACACGGCCCAGACUCCGUACGGGAGGCAGCAGGUGGGGAAUCUUGCGCAAUGGGCGAAAGCCUGACGCAGCGACGCCGCGUGAGGGAUGAC
Molecule: ribosomal RNA, 384 nt
Filed under: uncultured bacterium
Lineage: Bacteria
Description: bacterial SSU rRNA
Rfam family: Bacterial small subunit ribosomal RNA
Source: RNAcentral